GCUGAGGAUAUAGGUAAGGUGGUAGAGUUCUUGUCUGUUAUGCACAAGGUCCUGGGUUCAACUCCCAGCACAGCA
Molecule: transfer RNA, 75 nt
Filed under: Mus musculus (house mouse)
Lineage: Eukaryota; Metazoa; Chordata; Mammalia; Rodentia; Muridae
Description: tRNA-Asn
Source: RNAcentral